UGCAGUCGCACGAGAACGCUUCAGCUUGCUGAAGUAAGUAAAGUGGCGCACGGGUGAGUAACGCGUGGGUAAUCUACCCCUGAAUUGGGGAUAACAUUGCGAAAGUGAUGCUAAUACCGAAUGACAUCCUGAAAAUCUAUGUUUUCAGGAUCAAAGGUGGCCUCUACAUGUAAGCUAUUGUUUGGGGAUGAGCCCGCGUACCAUUAGCUUGUUGGUAGGGUAAUGGCCUACCAAGGCUACGAUGGUUAGCUGGUCUGAGAGGAUGAUCAGCCACACUGGAACUGACACACGGUCCAGACUCCUACGGGAGGCAGCAGUGAGGAAUUUUGCGCAAUGGGGGAAACCCUGACGCAGCAACGCCGCGUGAGUGAUGAAGGCUUUCGGGUCGUAAAGCUCUGUCAAGUGGGAAGAAACCAUAUGGUGUUAAUACCGCCAUGUGCUGACGGUACCACUGAAGGAAGCACCGGCUAACUCCGUGCCAGCAGCCGCGGUAAUACGGGGGGUGCGAGCGUUAUUCGGAAUUACUGGGCGUAAAGAGCGCGUAGGCGGUCUUUUAAGUCAGGUGUGAAAGCCCGGGGCUCAACCCCGGAAGUGCACUUGAAACUAAGAGACUUGAGUAUGGGAGAGGGAAGUGGAAUUCCUGGUGUAGCGGUGAAAUGCGUAGAUAUCAGGAGGAACAUCGGUGGCGAAGGCGACUUCCUGGACCAAUACUGACGCUGAGGCGCGAAGGCGUGGGGAGCAAACAGGAUUAGAUACCCUGGUAGUCCACGCAGUAAACGGUGAACACUAAGUGUAGCGGGUAUUGCCCCUGCUGUGCGCAGCAACGCAUAGUGUUCGCUGGGGAGUACGCGGCAGUAAACUCAAGAUGACGGCCGCACAGCGGUGAGCAUGUGUAAUUCGUGCAGUCGCAUGCAGUCGCAUGCAGUCGCA
Molecule: ribosomal RNA, 930 nt
Filed under: uncultured Desulfonema sp.
Lineage: Bacteria; Pseudomonadati; Thermodesulfobacteriota; Desulfobacteria; Desulfobacterales; Desulfococcaceae
Description: bacterial SSU rRNA
Rfam family: Bacterial small subunit ribosomal RNA
Source: RNAcentral